Long non-coding RNA from Pipistrellus kuhlii (Kuhl's pipistrelle), 122 nucleotides. RefSeq lists it as uncharacterized. NCBI's taxonomy places the organism in Eukaryota, Metazoa, Chordata, Mammalia, Chiroptera, Vespertilionidae. The transcript is spliced from 4 exons. The record is from RefSeq and is a predicted model, not a curated record.
AAUAAAAGAGUAAUAUGUAAAUUAACUAUCACUCUGCAACAAAGAUGGCAAUGCCCAUAGUUGCCAGGGCGGGACACUGGUGGCAUUGCCCUGGCAAUGCAAGCCCCGCAUCUGCACCCUGG